AGGUAGGGAUACCCGCUGAACUUAAGCAUAUCAUAAAGCCGGAGGG
RNAcentral lists this ribosomal RNA (46 nucleotides) under Cladonia rei. Its description in RNAcentral is "partial 28S ribosomal RNA". The record is from RNAcentral. Lineage: Eukaryota; Fungi; Ascomycota; Lecanoromycetes; Lecanorales; Cladoniaceae.